GCAUGAAGAUAAUGGCGCCAGAGGAGAUGGCUGCCGUUUUACGAUCUCCUAACCAAUUGUGCUAUUGUGUGUGUUUUUUCGCGUUAUUUGUAACUUAUUUUGUACAUAAUGUUUCUGCCACCGUGUGUUAUGACCGAAAAGAGUUUAUGGAUAUCAGGACAGUGAUUACUCACCCCGUACUGGAGGAAUACUUUUUCUUCAACGAGUCGGAUGGGAAGGAUUUACUUCAGACGCCUGACAAGGCCCUCAUCCCCAUCAUUCGCACGAGAAAGAGACAGAGAUAUCGGGGAUGAAGAUCGGGGUGCCUUGAAAGGAUUAGACACCGAGAGAGUAAUCUCCCUUUACUAUUGGUCCUAUUAGCCAACGUACAAUCAAUUGAAAAUAAAAUAGACAAACAACGAUCACGUAUAUCCUAUCAAUGGGACAUUAAAAACUGUAAUAUCUUAUGUUUCACCGAGUCCUGGCUGAACAACGACAUGAAUAACAUACAGCUAGAGGGUUUUACGCUUUUUUGGCAGGAUAGAACAGCGGCCUCUGGUAAGACAAGGGGUGUUGGUCUAUGUAUAUUUGUAAACAACAGCUGGUGCACAAAAUCUAAGGAAGUCUCAAGGUUUUGUUAUCUCAUGAUAAGCUGUAGACCACACUAUUUACCAAGAGAGUUUUCAUCUAUAUUCUUCGUAGCUGUCUAUUUACCACCACAAACCGAUGCUGGUACUAAGACCAUACUCAACGAGCAAACAGGAAAACGCUCAUCCAGAGGCGGCGCUCCUAGUGGCCGGGGAGUUUAAUGCAGGGAAAUUGAAAUCCGUUUUACCUCAUUUCUAUCAGCAUGUUAAAUGUGCAACCAAAGGGAAAAGAAACUGUAGACCAACUUUACUCCACACACAGAGACGCGUACAAAGCUCUCCCUCGCCCUCCAUUUGGCAAAUCUGACCAUAAUUCUAUCCUCCUGAUUCCUGCUUACAAGCAAAAACUAAAGCAGGAAGCACCAGUGACUCGAUCAAUAAGAAAGAGGUCAGAUGAAGCAGAUGCGCAGCUACAGGACAGUUUUGCUAUCACAGAGUGGAACAUGUUCCGGGAUUCUUCCGAUGGCAUUGAGGAGUACACCACAUCGGUCACUGGCUUCAUCAAUAAGUGAUUCGAUGACGUUGACCCCACAGUGACCGUAGGUACAUACCCCAACCAGAAGCCAUGGAUUACAGGCAAUAUCGAAGAACCAUCAAGCAGGCAAAGCGUCAAUACAGGACUAAGAUUGAAUCUUACUACACCGGCUCCGACGCUCGUCGGAUGUUGCAGGGCUUGCAAACUAUUACAGACUACAAAGGGAAGCACAGCCACGAGCUGCCCAGUGACACGAGCCUACCAGACUAGCUAAAUUACUUCUAUGCUCGCUUCGAGGCAAGUAACACUAAAACAUGCAUGAGAGCAUCAGCUCUUCCGGACGACUGUGUGAUCACUCUCUCCGUAGCCGAUGUGAGUAAAACCUUUACACAGGUCAACAUCCACAAGGCCGCAGGGCCAGACGGAUUACCAGGACGUGUGCUCCGAGGACGCGCUGACCAACUGGCAAGUGUCUUCACUGACAUUUUCAACCUGUCCCUGACUGAGUCUGUAAUACCAACAUAUUUCAAGCAGACCACCAUAGAACACUAAGACCACCAGCAGAACACUAAGGUAACCUGCCUAAAUGACCACCUUUGUAGCCAUGAAGUGCUUUGAAAGGCUGGUCAUGGCUCGCAUCAACAUCAUUAUCCCAGAAACCCUAGGCCCACUCCAAUUUGCAUACCGCCCCAACAGAUCCACAGAUGAUGCAAUCUCUAUUGCACUCAACACUGCCCUUUCCCACCUAGACAAAAGGAACACCUAUGUGAGAAUGCUAUUCAUUGACUACAGCUCAGUGUUCAACACCAUAGUGCCCUCAAAGCUCAUCACUAAGCUAAGGACCCUGGGACUAAACACCUCCCUCUGCAACUAGAUCCUGGAUUUCCUGACGGGCCGCCCCCAGGUGGUAAGGGAAGGUAACGACACAUCCGCCACGCUGAUCCUCAACACGGGGGCCCCUCAGGGGUGUGUGCUCAGUCCCUCCUGUACUCCCUACCUGGCCAUGUGGUGCCAGGACAACAACCUCUCCCUCAACGUGAUCAAAACAAAGGAGAUGAUUGUGGACUACAGGAAAAGGAUGACCGAGCACGCCCCCAUUCUCAUCGCCAGGGCUGUAGUGGAGCAGGUUGAGAGCUUCAAGUUCCUUGGUGUCUACAUCACCAACAAACUAUCAUGGUCCAAACACACUAAGACAGUCGUGAAGAGGGCACGACAAAACCUAUUCCCCCUCAGGAGACUGAAAAGAUUCAGCAUGGGUCCUCAGAUUCUCAAAAGAUUUUACAGCUGCACCAUCGAGAGCAUCCUGACCAGUUGCAUCACCGCCUGGUAUGGCAACUGCUCGGCCUCCGACCGUAAGGCACUACAGAGGGUAGUGCGUAUGGCCCAGUACAUCCCUGAGGCCAAGUUUCCUGCCAUACAGGACCUCUUUGCCAGGCGGUGUCAGAGAAAGGCCCUAAAAAUUGUCAAAGACUCCAGCCACACUAGUCAUAGACUGUUCUCUCUGCUACUGCAUGACAAGCGGUACCAGAGCGCCAAGUCUAAGCCAACAGGCUUCUUAACAGCUUCUACCCCCAAGCCAUAAGACUCCUGAACAGCUAAUCAAAGAGCUACCCAGACCCCUCUUUUACGCUGCUGCUACUCUCCGUUUAUUAUCUAUGCAUAGUCACUUUAACUCUACCUACAUGUACAUAUUACCUCAAUUACCUCAACUAACCGGUGCCCCCGCACAUUGACUCUGUACCGGUAUCCCCUUUAUAUUGCCUCGCUAUUGAUAUUUUACUGCUGCUGUUUAAUUAUUUGUUACUUUAUUUGUUAUUUUCUAUUUUUUACUUAACACUUAUUUUUCUUAAAACUUCUUAAAGCAUUUUGGUUAGGGGCUUGUAAGAAAGCAUUUCACUGUAAGGUCUACUAUACCUGUUGUAUUCGGCGCAUGUGACAAAUAAAAUUUGAUUUGAUUUGAGUAUCAGGUGAGCUUUUAAUUUGUCAAACACAGUGAAAGCAUCGAACUUAGUAAACAAGGAAAUAUAGUUAUUUGCAAAUAACCAUUAAGGUUGCAAUAGACAUGCAGGCAGUUUGAUAAAUGGAUUCUUGGCCUUUGUAUUUUGGCUUUGUUAAGAAGAGAUAUUCAUCUUGCUGAGAGAAUCUAGACUCUAGAGUUUGUUGGCUUUCCUCAUUUCCUGAUGAUAAAGGGUUUAUUGUAGCAGAACUUGCCUGGACAUGUUUCAGGGCAGGUGAUUGGCUGUGUGGAUGCUGCUCUGGAGAGGUUUCAAAUGAACUAGAGAAAAGACAGAGGGACUGUGACCUCUAACCCAACAUGUCAGGGGUCAAAGCCCAUCGAUCUUCACAUGCUAUUCCUUCUCUACUGUAUGUUGUAGCCUGCAGAUAUUUGGUUACUUUGCAGUCAAGUUAAAAUGUUUUAUUAUUUGUGUGUUUGUAUUGUAUAGCUAGUAACAUGAGCAUUUCACUGCACCUGCUAUAAUGCCUACAAAUCUGUCUUUACGACCAGUAAGCUUUGAUUUUAUAUGUGUGUAUUUCUGUUACAAAGCCUUUGGAGGUAUGUUCCUAAAUCAUAUUUAGGCUAUUCUCAUUGUAAGAAUGUAGAAGGACCAGGGUAAAGUUUGUGGCGUUCUUUUUCACCAGCCCUCUCUCACACUAAAAGCUUGGUUGCAGAUCCUGCUCGUUGGCACUGGGCCUACUGUGGCAUUAGCUCAGUAUCUCAAUAAAUGCUUUUAAUCAAACCAACAUUUCCCUUAAAUUCCUCAAGUUUAGCCUGUACAUUACAAUCUCUCUCUCUCUCUCUCUCUCUCACACACACACACUUGCUCAGCAGAAAAGUGUUUCACAACUCACUUCUCUCCUCUCUCCCUUUCACUCCCUCUGUCUUUUUCCAGGAAUCUGGAAUUCUGGAAGUGGGGCCAAUGAGUUUAAGAGUGUGAUGGGUCGGACAGCUGCAUGCGUUUAGCUUGGAAGGAGCCAGGCAUGUACUCACAUGUAUGCAGCCAUUCCUCUCUCUGUCCCAAUACAGGGAAUGGAGAGAGGAUGAGUGCUUAGUAAUCACAUCACAUGCAGAUUAGUCAUGAAACAUAAACAGAAAAGAAAAUCAUUCCCACACCUGUAGAGAUCCUUCAUGCCUACUCGAUCGCUCCGUCUCUCUUUCACGCAUGCAAACACUUGCACUACUUUUCCUGAGAAAAAGGUGAUGCAAAUUAUAAUACUGUACCUAACCCUUUUCAAAUUUCUACCAUCUUAUUAAGCCAAUGUAAUCAAGCCAAUCUAUGCCCGUGGCAAAUAAAC
This 4395-nucleotide long non-coding RNA is filed under the name Salmo salar (Atlantic salmon). RNAcentral's name for it is "lncRNA (ENSSSAG00000122054.1)". The record is from RNAcentral. Lineage: Eukaryota; Metazoa; Chordata; Actinopteri; Salmoniformes; Salmonidae.